AGGAGGGCCGGUCUAACACACAGGCCCUGCUGCAUAGUGUGGUUACUGCAGCCAGGCUAUUUAUAUGUGUCUCUUCUUCAGAGAAGGAAGCUGGACCUAUUGAAUCCAGAUGUGAGAGGACAGACAGAAGGCACAAGACAGAACCAGAGCUGGAGGAGACAGACUGGGCCAGAGUGGCAGCCUACGGUGUCUGAACAAGGAACACUCAGUCACAAAAAAGGACAUAUUGUGCCGGCUCUGCGCUCCAGACCUCCAGUGAUGAUCCAUAGCCCGGAGCCUCCAGUGACGAUCCACGGUCCGGUUCCUCCGGCGACGAUCCACGGUCCGGAGCUUCCGGUGAUGAUCUACGGUCCGGAGCCCCCGGCGACGAUCCACGGUCUGGUUCCUCCGGUGACGAUCCACCGUCCGGAGUCUCUAGCGAGGAUCCACGGUCCGGAGUCUCUAGCGAGGAUCCAUGGUCCGGAGCUUCCGGCGAUGAUCCCCGCACCAGAGUCGCCACCUGAGCUGGCGGAUCCGCAAGCGGAACGCGGUCGUAGUCCCGCACCGGAGCCGCUACCGAGGCUGGAUGCCCACCCGGACCCUCCCCUAUAGAGUCAGAUUUUGCGGCCAGAGUCCGCACCGUUGGGGGAGUACUAUCAUGCCCUGACCUUAGAGAUCCUUUUAUUUAUCUAUUUGGUUAGGUCAGGGUGUGACUAGGGUGGACAUUCUAUUUUUUCGUUUCUAGGCAGAGGCAGCUGUCUAUCAUUGUCUCUGAUUGGGGAUCAUAUUUAGGCAUCCUUUUUCCACCUGUUGUGUGUGGGAUCUUGUUUUUGUAUUGUAGCCUUUUUGCACUACAAAGAUGCACGUUUGUUUUGUUACCCUUUAUUGUUUUGUUGCUGGCUCACAUUAAUAAAACUGGAUGAACACUU
Molecule: long non-coding RNA, 908 nt
Organism: Oncorhynchus masou masou (cherry salmon)
Lineage: Eukaryota; Metazoa; Chordata; Actinopteri; Salmoniformes; Salmonidae
Exons: 2
Source: RefSeq, a predicted model, not a curated record